RNAcentral lists this microRNA (21 nucleotides) under Chlamydomonas reinhardtii. Its description in RNAcentral is "cre-miR1163.1". The record is from miRBase by way of RNAcentral. Lineage: Eukaryota; Viridiplantae; Chlorophyta; Chlorophyceae; Chlamydomonadales; Chlamydomonadaceae.
AAGAGCGCCAUGGCACGCAGC